This 833-nucleotide long non-coding RNA is filed under the name Marmota monax (woodchuck). The record is from RNAcentral. Lineage: Eukaryota; Metazoa; Chordata; Mammalia; Rodentia; Sciuridae.
GUCAGCUUUCCACUGAGAUAACAUCUUUGUCCAUUUAGGGGGAGGGGUUCUGUUUUCUGCUUGAUUGAGGUCCACCUUUCAAUAAACUGGGGAGACAUGGUCCAUAUUUCUUUCUGGCCACAGGUCUAUCUGGAUGUCCGGUUGAUUUUUUUUCUCCCACACACCCAGGAAUCUCCCCAUUUGUCUGGCUAUCUGUUCAGCUGGGAGUCUGUUUUCCCUGGGAUUUUGCCUGUUCACCCAAAAGUCUGCCUGGUUGGUUGGCUUUCUAUUGAGAGAGAGCUUUUUGCCUAUCUGGCUGAGGAUCUGAGGGACUAGCCAAAAACUGCCUUGUGGCCUGUGAACAUUUACUUGUGAUAUCAGCUGGGUUGGGUGUCUGUCCUUUCUGGUCAGAAGUCCACCUUCACUUCAUGACCCCUCUUGUUCAGUCUGUUUGCCCUCUUGAUGCUUAACUGUCCCUCCAUGCCUUCCCAGCAUCCCAGUGUUCCUGGUCUGCUCUCUGUUCAGCUCAGGAAGGGUAUGGGAGAUGGUAAGAUCCCACAGACUUUCCCCAGUAGCCUUGGCCAACCCUACCACUCCUUUCUCCCAGAGGAGUACAGUUUCUUGCUAUCAGAUUUGCUGCUGCAGGUGGUCCUCCUGUUUCCUGAUACUAGCAGUCACCUACAGUGAGAGCUGUUAUCACUCUUGAGCUCAGAGUGCUUGCUGCAUAGGCCAUUCAACAAGCUUAAGACUGGAUGCUGGGCUGGGGAUGUGGCUCAAGCCGGUAGCGCGCUCGCCUGGCAUGCGCGUGGCCCGGGUUCGAUCCUCAGCACCACAUACAAAGAUGUUGUGUCCGC